UACGGAGGGUGCAAGCGUUAUCCGGAUUCACUGGGUUUAAAGGGUGCGUAGGUGGGUCUGUAAGUCCGUGGUGAAAUCUCCGAGCUUAACUUGGAAACUGCCAUGGAUACUAUAGGUCUUGAAUAUUGUGGAGGUCAGCGGAAUAUGUCAUGUAGCGGUGAAAUGCUUAGAUAUGACAUAGAACACCAAUUGCGAAGGCAGCUGGCUACGCAUAUAUUGACACUGAGGCACGAAAGCGUGGGGAUCAAACAGG
This 253-nucleotide ribosomal RNA is filed under the name uncultured bacterium. RNAcentral describes it as "partial 16S ribosomal RNA". It matches the Rfam family "Bacterial small subunit ribosomal RNA", at positions 524 to 776 of the family's 1533-position model. The record is from RNAcentral.